RNAcentral lists this transfer RNA (64 nucleotides) under Dexiogyia corticina. RNAcentral describes it as "tRNA-Glu". It matches the Rfam family "tRNA". From Rfam's summary of the family: Transfer RNA (tRNA) molecules are approximately 80 nucleotides in length. Their secondary structure includes four short double-helical elements and three loops (D, anti-codon, and T loops). Further hydrogen bonds mediate the characteristic L-shaped molecular structure. tRNAs have two regions of fundamental functional importance: the anti-codon, which is responsible for specific mRNA codon recognition, and the 3' end, to which the tRNAs corresponding amino acid is attached (by aminoacyl-tRNA synthetases). tRNAs cope with the degeneracy of the genetic code in two manners: having more than one tRNA (with a specific anti-codon) for a particular amino acid; and 'wobble' base-pairing, i.e. permitting non-standard base-pairing at the 3rd anti-codon position. Lineage: Eukaryota; Metazoa; Arthropoda; Insecta; Coleoptera; Staphylinidae. The record is from RNAcentral.
AUUUAUAUAGUUUAUAAAACAUUACAUUUUCAAUGUAAAAAUAAGAUUUUAAUCUUUGUAAAUA